GACGAACGCUGGCGGCGUGCUUAACACAUGCAAGUCGAACGAUGAACCCGGAGCUUGCUCUGGGGGAUUAGUGGCGAACGGAUGAGUAACACGUGAGUAACCUGCCCUGGACUCUGGGAUAAGCGUUGGAAACGACGUCUAAUACCGGAUAGGACCUUGGAUCGCAUGAUCUGGGGUGGAAAGUUUUUUCGGUCUGGGAUGGACUCGCGGCCUAUCAGCUUGUUGGUGAGGUAAUGGCUCACCAAGGCGUCGACGGGUAGCCGGCCUGAGAGGGUGACCGGCCACACUGGGACUGAGACACGGCCCAGACUCCUACGGGAGGCAGCAGUGGGGAAUAUUGCACAAUGGGCGAAAGCCUGAUGCAGCAACGCCGCGUGCGGGAUGACGGCCUUCGGGUUGUAAACCGCUUUUAGUAGGGAAGAAGGGCUUCGGCUUGACGGUACCUGCAGAAAAAGGACCGGCUAACUACGUG
Molecule: ribosomal RNA, 472 nt
Filed under: uncultured bacterium
Lineage: Bacteria
Description: partial 16S ribosomal RNA
Rfam family: Bacterial small subunit ribosomal RNA
Source: RNAcentral